GUAGGUUGAAGCUUACUCACAGGGAUUACAAACGAGUGCAAUUUAAUGUCACUCUUCUAUCUUUAUCCUUGGGAAGGUCUGAGAUAAAGACCAAUCGAGACUCUAGCAGGGUUCCAUGCGUUUAACGUAUGGCAGGUGAUCAGAAAGCUUCCGGCGUGAAGUGUCUUUCUUAAUGGUAAUAUUCGAGUACAAGAUCAACAUUCGUUGAGAUACUCUUAUCAUUGAGAAAGUUGUGAAAGCCUGUGGUCAGCAACAUGAAGUUCAAUGAGUGAGAUGAUUGUUUCGAUGAUCAGAACUCAAUUCAGACUACUCUCUACCGAC
Molecule: RNase P RNA, 321 nt
Filed under: Adineta vaga
Lineage: Eukaryota; Metazoa; Rotifera; Eurotatoria; Adinetida; Adinetidae
Description: nuclear RNase P
Rfam family: Nuclear RNase P
About the family: Ribonuclease P (RNase P) is a ubiquitous endoribonuclease, found in archaea, bacteria and eukarya as well as chloroplasts and mitochondria. Its best characterised activity is the generation of mature 5'-ends of tRNAs by cleaving the 5'-leader elements of precursor-tRNAs.
Source: RNAcentral